This 378-nucleotide small RNA is filed under the name Pan troglodytes (chimpanzee). RNAcentral's name for it is "retained intron". The record is from RNAcentral. Lineage: Eukaryota; Metazoa; Chordata; Mammalia; Primates; Hominidae.
GAGAUAACAGAACUUGGUGGCUGAUUGGAGGCAGGGAGUGAGGGAGAGGGAGGAGCAAAGACUAACUGUCAGUUCUCAAGAGCCGGCUGGAGCUCUUUCUUUCCCUCCAGUGAGAACAACAUGCCCAGAACCAACAAAACCGAAUUCCAACUGGAGCUGCCGGUGAAAUAUGCUGUCUACAUGGUGGUCACCAGCCAUGGGGUCUCCACUAAAUAUCUCAACUUCACGGCCUCAGAGAAUACCAGUCGGGUCAUGCAGCAUCAAUAUCAGGUCAGCAACCUGGGGCAGAGGAGCCUCCCCAUCAGCCUGGUGUUCUUGGUGCCCGUCCGGCUGAACCAGACUGUCAUAUGGGACCGCCCCCAGGUCACCUUCUCCGAG